CGAUAGCGUAUAUUUAAGUUGCUGCAGUUAAAAAGCUCGUAGCUGGAUUUCGGGUGGGAAUGGCCGGUCCGCCGUUUCGGUGUGCACUUGCUACGCCCACCUUGCUGCCGGGGACGUGCUCUUGAGUUCACGCUCGGGACACGGAGUCGGCGAGGUUACUUUGAGUAAAUUAGAGUGUUCAAAGCAGGCCUACGCUCUGAAUACAUUAGCAUGGAAUAACACGAUAGGACUCUGGCCUAUCUUGUUGGUCUGUAGGACCGGAGUAAUGAUUAAGAGGGACAGUCGGGGGCAUUCGUAUUUCAUUGUCAGAGGUGAAAUUCUUGGAUUUAUGAAAGACGAACUACUGCGAAAGCAUUUGCCAAGGAUGUUUUCAUUAA
Molecule: ribosomal RNA, 377 nt
Filed under: uncultured eukaryote
Lineage: Eukaryota
Description: partial 18S ribosomal RNA
Rfam family: Eukaryotic small subunit ribosomal RNA
Source: RNAcentral